RNAcentral lists this ribosomal RNA (202 nucleotides) under Pachycondyla impressa. RNAcentral's name for it is "partial large subunit ribosomal RNA". Lineage: Eukaryota; Metazoa; Arthropoda; Insecta; Hymenoptera; Formicidae. The record is from RNAcentral.
GAAUUUUAUACAAUUUUUAUAUAUCAGUUAUAGAAAGAUUGUAUUUGAUUGGGAGGAUAGUUAAAUUUAAUAAACUUUAGUAAUUUAAAAACAUGAAUUAAUGAUAAGAGAGUAAUGAUUAAGUUAAAUUAUAUUAGAAUAAAUUACCUUAGGGAUAACAGCAUAAUAUUAUUUUUUAGUUCUUAUAUAAAAUAAUGUUUAU